UGGGGGAUAUUGCACAAUGGGCGAAAGCCUGAUGCAGCGACGCCGCGUGGGGGAUGAAGGCCUUCGGGUUGUAAACUUCUUUUGCUCUGAACAAGGCAUGCCUUUGGGGUGUGUUGAGUGUAGGGGUUGAUUAGCGCCGGCUAACUACGUGCCAGCAGCCGCGGUAAUACGUAGGGCGCGAGCGUUGUCCGGAAUUAUUGGGCGUAAAGGGCUUGUAGGUGGCUGGUUGCGUCUGUCGUGAAAGCUCAUGGCUUAACUGUGGGUUUGCGGUGGGUACGGGCUGGCUUGAGUGCAGUAGGGGAGGCUGGAAUUCCUGGUGUAGCGGUGGAAUGCGCAGAUAUCAGGAGGAAUACCGGUGGCGAAGGCGGGUCUCUUGGCUGUUACUGACGCUGAGGAGCGAAAGCGUGGGGAGCGAACAGG
RNAcentral lists this ribosomal RNA (420 nucleotides) under Fusobacteriota bacterium. RNAcentral describes it as "Fusobacteria bacterium partial 16S ribosomal RNA". It matches the Rfam family "Bacterial small subunit ribosomal RNA", at positions 355 to 776 of the family's 1533-position model. The record is from RNAcentral. Lineage: Bacteria; Fusobacteriati; Fusobacteriota.